Molecule: ribosomal RNA, 253 nt
Filed under: uncultured bacterium
Lineage: Bacteria
Description: partial 16S ribosomal RNA
Rfam family: Bacterial small subunit ribosomal RNA
Source: RNAcentral
UCCGUAGGUGACAAGCGUUGUCCGGAUUUACUGGGCGUCAAGAGCGCGCAGGCGGUCGUUCAAGUCGAGUGUGAAAGCCCCCGGCUCAACUGGGGAGGGUCACUCGAUACUGAUCGACUCGAAGGCAGGAGAGGGAAGUGGAAUUCCCGGUGUAGUGGUGAAAUGCGUAGAUAUCGGGAGGAACACCAGUGGCGAAGGCGACUUCAGGGCCUGUUCUUGACGCUGAGGCGCGAAAGCUAGGGGAGCAAACGGG